Molecule: long non-coding RNA, 216 nt
Filed under: Setaria italica (foxtail millet)
Lineage: Eukaryota; Viridiplantae; Streptophyta; Magnoliopsida; Poales; Poaceae
Description: long non-coding RNA (SITA_LNC002500)
Source: RNAcentral
GCCGUAUAAGGAUCACGGGAUUACCACUCGACGCACUACUGGUGCGGAAGAUGUAGAUUUGCGUCGAUGCAGCGAAGAUGAUCAACGUAGUCGUACAUAGUCGAUCAACAUAGUCGUACGUAGUCGAUCACAUCAACGUCCAGCAGCUCGUCCACGUGCAGCAAGAUCGCCCUCGUGCCGCGGCUCGUCGUCGGCUCGUCGUGGCUCGUCGGCGGC